CCAAAGUGCAAAUUUGGCAACGCACCCCGACAGGUGCCGGGGCUUCUCCCCCUC
This 54-nucleotide transfer RNA is filed under the name Sphaerodactylus monensis (Mona least gecko). RNAcentral describes it as "tRNA-Cys". The record is from RNAcentral. Lineage: Eukaryota; Metazoa; Chordata; Lepidosauria; Squamata; Sphaerodactylidae.